CUAUACGAAGGUAUUGAAAUAAGGCUUUUAUUGGGUGCUAAGAGAAUGGUUGAACAAGGAUUAACUUUCUUUUAAUUUUUAAUGGAAUUUGAUUUAAAAGUGAAGAGGCUUUUAUUAAUUUUUGGGACAAGAAGACCCUAUGAAUUUUUUUUUAUAAAUUUAUUUAUAAUUUAUAGUUAAGAGAAUGAAAUAUUUUUAUAAGUUGAUUGGGGUGAUUUUUAAAUAAUGUAUAACUUUAAAAAGAAGGAGAAUUAGAACCAUAAUGUAUGAUUAGUUGAUUAAAAUACUCUAGGGAUAACAGCGUAAUUAUUUUGGAUAGUUCAUAUAGAUAAAAUAGUUUGCGACCUCGAUGUUGGAUUAAGAUACUUGUGUAAUGAAGUAGUUACAU
Molecule: ribosomal RNA, 388 nt
Filed under: Alectorobius hasei
Lineage: Eukaryota; Metazoa; Arthropoda; Arachnida; Ixodida; Argasidae
Description: partial large subunit ribosomal RNA
Source: RNAcentral